AACCCUGCAUCCAGUUGCCAUCGGGCGAGCCGGGCGACUCUGGAGGGACUGCCGGGCGACAAGCCGGAGGAAGGUGGGGAUGACGUCAAGUCAUCAUGGCCCUUAUGUCCAGGGCGACACACGUGCUACAAUGGCCGGCGACAGCGGGAAGCGGAGGGGCGGACCCUGAGCGGAUCCCUUGAAAGCCGGUCCCAGUUCGGAUUGCAGUCUGCAACUCGACUGCAUGAAGUUGGAAUCGCUAGUAAUCGCGGAUCAGCCAAGCCGCGGUGAAUACGUUCCCGGGCCUU
RNAcentral lists this ribosomal RNA (287 nucleotides) under uncultured Thermovirga sp. RNAcentral's name for it is "partial 16S ribosomal RNA". It matches the Rfam family "Bacterial small subunit ribosomal RNA", at positions 1101 to 1382 of the family's 1533-position model. The record is from RNAcentral. Lineage: Bacteria; Thermotogati; Synergistota; Synergistia; Synergistales; Thermovirgaceae.